RNAcentral lists this ribosomal RNA (539 nucleotides) under uncultured Geobacteraceae bacterium. RNAcentral describes it as "bacterial SSU rRNA". It matches the Rfam family "Bacterial small subunit ribosomal RNA", at positions 9 to 526 of the family's 1533-position model. Lineage: Bacteria; Pseudomonadati; Thermodesulfobacteriota; Desulfuromonadia; Geobacterales; Geobacteraceae. The record is from RNAcentral.
GAGUUUGAUCCUGGCUCAGAACGAACGCUGGCGGCGUGCCUAACACAUGCAAGUCGAACGUGAUCCAGAGCUUGCUCUGGUGAAAGUGGCGCACGGGUGAGUAACGCGUGGAUAACCUACCCUGGUAUCCGGGAUAACAUUCCGAAAGGGGUGCUAAUACCGGAUAAGCCCACGGGCUCUUGGAGCUUGCGGGAAAAGGUGGCCUCUAUUUAUAAGCUACUGUAUCAGGAUGGGUCCGCGUACCAUUAGCUAGUUGGCGGUGUAACGGACCACCAAGGCGACGAUGGUUAGCUGGUCUGAGAGGAUGAUCAGCCGCACUGGAACUGAGACACGGCCCAGACUCCUWCGGGAGGCAGCAGUGGGGAAUUUUGCGCAAUGGGGGAAACCCUGUSGCAGCAACGCCGCGUGAGUGAUGAAGGCCUUUGGGUCGUAAAGCUCKGUCAGGGGGGAAGAAAUGAUAUAGUGCUAAUACCACUUUAUCUUGACGGUACCCUCAAAGGAAGCACCGGCUAACUCCGUGCCAGCAGCCGCGGUAAUAC